Molecule: long non-coding RNA, 585 nt
Organism: Hipposideros armiger (great roundleaf bat)
Lineage: Eukaryota; Metazoa; Chordata; Mammalia; Chiroptera; Hipposideridae
Exons: 3
Source: RefSeq, a predicted model, not a curated record
UGGGGGUGCUUCCUUUCCGUGGGGGGCGCGGAGGGCGGGGGCCCGCGCCAACCUCCGACACUGCAAACGACAGACACACCAGGAAAGGACCUGUGAGUCCCUGGAGAAGAGGACCUGCUUGUUUUGCUCAAGGGGGGCGUCCUCAGAGCAAAGCAGGAUACCUGUAUACACAUCCUUAUGAGAGAAGCAGCACAUCAUGGAAAAAAACACAAAGGCAAACAACAAAUCAAGAGCCCAGCAGCUAAAGCCUCCAUUCAGAUUAAGGUGGCCCCCAGUUGGACAAAAUGGUAUGGAGAAAAGAAACUAAAAGCAUGGCUGCCCCAAAGGAUUCUCAUAAGCUGAAGACACUGAAAAUAAGUCUAGAGAGGAAGGAAGGUGUCUUGAAAAGAGAAUUGUGUCUGUGGCUGCGGCUAACAGGGAUCAGAUCAUUCGAGGAUGGAAACCCAGGCCUGCCUCUGAGCCCACCCAAUUUCCACUCCCCUGAACUGCCUCCCGUGGACUGUAACCUGUACCACUGAGCAGGAGACAAUCUCCUCAGUGUCAAGGGCGGUAUUUAUUAGACGCAUAGCUGUGCCUGGCACAAAG